This 308-nucleotide small nuclear RNA is filed under the name Chinchilla lanigera (long-tailed chinchilla). RNAcentral's name for it is "7SK RNA (ENSCLAG00000021732.1)". It matches the Rfam family "7SK RNA". Rfam says of the family: 7SK was discovered as an abundant small nuclear RNA in the mid-70s but a possible function has only recently been suggested. Lineage: Eukaryota; Metazoa; Chordata; Mammalia; Rodentia; Chinchillidae. The record is from Rfam by way of RNAcentral.
GGAUGUGAGGGCGAUCUGGCUGCGACAUCGUCACCCAAUUGAUUGUCAGGGUUGAUCCCGCUGAUCUGACUAUGCCCCUACUUCCUUCAGUGCUCGCUGUGUGCCCCUCCCGAGGCUGCGUGCUGCGUCAAAGGACGACCAAACCCCAUAGAAGAGGACCGUUUCUUGGUCAAGGGUAAGGAGUAGCUGCACCCCUCCUGCUAGAACAUCCAAACAAGCUCGCAAAAACGAGCAAAAUAAUUUCAGGAAGCAUGAAAACAAAAGGCAAAAUUUCUAAUUAACUAAUCCACCAUAUAGAGUAUUAAGGU